UUUUUAUGACUUGUUAUUUAUGUGUUUAUUGUAGUAAAGGUUUAUAUUUUAAAAUAAUUUAUAAAGGUAAAUUAAUAGUAGUUAUUAAUGAAUAAAAAGUAGAUGGCUAUAAUAGAAAAGUACUGUGAAGGAAAGUUUAAAUCAUAAUUAUAAAAAGGAAAAGUAAGGGUGAAAUUCUGUACCUUGGGUAUUAGGGAUAAUCAAUAUAUUAUUAAUUAUUAUUAAGUAUCUCGAAAUAAAAAUAGUUAAUUUUAUAAAAGAGUUUUUAUAAUAUAAAGAUUUUUAAUAUAAAAUUAGAAGUGAAAUGUUAAUCGGGUUUUAUAAUAUCUAGUUCUUUAAAAAAUAAAUUUAAUUUAGUCUUUAUAAUUAUAAAAUAUAAAGAAAGAAAAUAGAAGGGGAAAGCUUUUUAUUUAGAAAAUAGUUAUAAAUAUAGAUAAUAGAUUAUCUAAGCUUAGAAGUAGCUAUGUUGAUAAAGUGUUUUAACUAAGAGUUGCGUUAAAUUAUUAUUUUUAUAAAUCUUUAUUAUAUAUUAGAGAAUUAUUUAUAAUUUUAAAUAAUAAAAUAUAAUGGUUUUAUUAGUAGAAAUUUUUAUUUAAGUAAUAAAUUAAAUAUUGAAUAAAAAUAUAAAAUAAUUAGGAUAGUAUAGAGGAAUUCGGCAAAAGGUUUCUUUGCCUGUUUAUCAAAAACAUGUUUAUUUGAAGUUAUAUAUAAUUUGGCCUGCCCCCUGAUUAUUAGUUAAAGGGCCGCAGUAUUAUAACUGUGCAAAGGUAGCAUAAUCAUUAGGUUUUUAAUUGAAAUCUCGUAUGAAUGGUCGGACAAAAGAAAAGCUCUCUUUAUAUUAAUUUUGAAUUUAACUUUUAAGUGAAAAGGCUUAAAUAUACUAAAGGGACGAUAAGACCCUAUAAAACUUUACAUUGUGAUUAUAUUUUAGUAAAUUUAUAAAUAAAGAUUAAAUUUGAUUAUUUGUUAGGCUGGGGAGGUACGAAUAAAUAUUAUUUUAACUGUUUGAUGAUUAUACAAUUAUUAGUGGGUAAGUAAAAGAUCCUUAUUUCAAGAUUAAUAGAUUAAGUUACUUUAGGGAUAACAGCGUAAUUUCUUUUGAGAGUUCUUAUCGAAAGAGAAGAUUGCGACCUCGAUGUUGAAUUAAAAUAUUCUAUAUAAUGAAGAGGUUAUAUAAGAAGGUCUGUUCGACCUUUAAAAUUUUACAUGAUUUGAGUUCAAACCGGUGUGAGCCAGGUUGGUUUCUAUCUUUUAGUAAAGAAAUAAUUAUUUUAGUACGAAAGGAGUAGAUAAUUGAAAUAAUUUUAAAUU
RNAcentral lists this ribosomal RNA (1311 nucleotides) under Huananpotamon lichuanense. Its description in RNAcentral is "16S ribosomal RNA". The stretch from base 625 to 1311 matches the Rfam family "Archaeal large subunit ribosomal RNA", at positions 1423 to 2788 of the family's 2987-position model. Lineage: Eukaryota; Metazoa; Arthropoda; Malacostraca; Decapoda; Potamidae. The record is from RNAcentral.